AUGAGGAGGGAGGAGGACAAGAGGAGGAGGGAGGAGGACGCGAGGAGGAGGGAGGAGGACGAGAGGAGGAGGCAGGAGGACGAGAGGAGAGAGGAGGACGAUCGGAGGAGGAGGCAGGAGGUUGACGUACUCAACGUGGGAGGACUCAACAUUGGGAACCCACAGCCAGUCCAAGACCCGAUCUGGGUUAAGGGAAGGUCAAUUGCUGAGUUAAAGAUGAAGAUGAAUAUUAUCAAGGAAGAGGAUGCCAAAAAAGACGCUGCUAAGGCAAAAGCGGCCGGGAAGAAAGUGGAGGAGGCAGUUGCUGCAGAGGAAUUGGUUCAGCAAGCUAAUACAAGAUUCUCUUUGGAGUUCGGAGGUUUCCUCGCAACUUUCAAGAAGGAGGAUUCUGAAGAUUUCCAGUAUCCUGCUCAAAUUGAGACUAUGAAGAGACUAAACUCAUAUGUUUUGAAUGUUGAUUUUCUGAAUAUUUUGUCCGAUAAGAAGUACAAGAGCUUGGCUAUUCGACUUGGGGAGAGUACUGAAUACCUCUGGUUACAUCGGGUCAUUGCGGAAUUCUUGAUUGCAAAUGGUAUGGAUAAUGAGGAUGUCACUGUGUUGACGCAGAAAGUUCCGUUGUCUUUCACCAAUUUGCACAGUCUCAAGGCUCUAAAGGCUCACAUGCGAAGCAAGCCAUGUUGGAAAACCACAAAGAACAAUGAGAAAACGGUUACUGCACAUGGCCGCAAGUCAUUCUCGCUACUCAUAUCGGACGUGCUAAACAAGAACAAAGAAAACAUAAGUUACAACGGCAAGUUCAACGAGGAUGACAUCCUUCUUGGAGAGACUUUUUGUUGGAUAUACAGCCAGCAGUUAGAGAAUCAACCCACUCAGCUAUGUUGCAGAUCUCAGCUCCAUUUGGACUGUCAUGGAACCUUUCUAUGA
Molecule: ribosomal RNA, 924 nt
Filed under: Triticum aestivum (bread wheat)
Lineage: Eukaryota; Viridiplantae; Streptophyta; Magnoliopsida; Poales; Poaceae
Description: partial small subunit ribosomal RNA
Source: RNAcentral